UCCUGAAAAACCUGUGAUACAACCUCAGAGAGGUUGUAUAGUUAAUUCUGAUCUUCCUUUGAAGAUAAUAUUUCAGACAGAGGAGGUAGGUGGCAGAGGAAGACUGCAGCUUGAGAGAGUAAGUGUCUCGAUGCAAGGAAACCAGAAAAUCAUAUUUUCAGCAGAGCACAAACAGAGAACUUAGUCCUCACAGCUGCAAA
RNAcentral lists this long non-coding RNA (200 nucleotides) under Cyanistes caeruleus (blue tit). RNAcentral describes it as "lncRNA (ENSCCEG00000014916.1)". Lineage: Eukaryota; Metazoa; Chordata; Aves; Passeriformes; Paridae. The record is from RNAcentral.